AGAACUUGAUAGCUCUGUAAACACUGAAAUCCUUGUUGCCAUAACACCAGGAAAAAUAAUAUGGGCUCCUGCAUAUAAAUAUAACGAAGGCCUUGGGGAAUGGGAGCAUUUCUAAAUGACUUGAAGCUCUGUCACGGCAUAAUCUCUUAUAAAUAAAUGUCAGUGUAGUCACUGAAUGCAGACUGGAUUUUUGCCUGACUACGGUGCUCAGCCUUCUAGACAAUAGUUAUGCUAAGGGAUUAUCUUUUAACAUUGUGCAGUUAUCUCCUUUGUUUGUUUUCUUUUUUCAUUAUUCACAUAAGCCAAGGGAAAUGAAAAGCAUCUUAUUUCAGGCAAAAAGGCCUGUGAAUGAUUAACUCUGGUUCCAUGCGUUGGGACUUUGCAUAGCAACCCCGUGGCUUGCAACGACAAAAAAGCUCAAGGCAGGAACAGCAGCCCAGGGACCUGAGACCAGCGUUCUCAAAUGAAGGUGCCAGAUCUGCUGUUAGAGGAGAAUUCUUCUGUCCUAGCUGUGUCUCUGUGAUCUGUGGAUGAGGGUGGGAAAGCACCACUCAGUCAAUUGGGGUGUACAAAAUGGAGUUUGAGAAGGUCUCACAUCCAGGUUGUUUUGAAGCAAAGUCCAAGCAUUGUAUCACUUCAUCUGCAAAUAUUUCAAUAAGUACCCAAAAGACUUCCUAGGAUAGAGCUUGGAAAGGUUGGAAAAGUAAGGAUGAUUGAACUUGAAAGGUGUGAAUGAAAGAAGAAUUAUCUUUUGGGAUGGAGAAUAGUAGCUGUUUUCAAAGAAGAUUUUAUUUUAUCUUUCAUUUUUGGCCUAUAAGUUUUGCAGAGAAUCUGUGAUUAGAGUAUUUAGUAAAGUACUAUGUAAUUAUUGUUCUGUUAUUUGGACACAUGUUUAAACUAGAAUUUUGAAGAUAGCAAUUAGCAAUAAUUAUGUAUGUUCUAGCCACUUUAUUCAUUCUACCUCUUUUACCAUAUACUUUAAAGAUAUCUAUAUGGUAAAAGGUAAGUGGCAACUGAAUAAUCACAAAUACAUCAACAAGUAAAGAGAUGCUUUGUUUUA
Homo sapiens (human) is the source of this 1060-nucleotide long non-coding RNA. Ensembl annotates it as long intergenic non-protein coding RNA 1091. The record is from Ensembl. NCBI's taxonomy places the organism in Eukaryota, Metazoa, Chordata, Mammalia, Primates, Hominidae.